CACUAAGAAGCUAAACUGGGACUAGCGUUAGCCUUUUAAGCUAAAGACUGGCGGCUCCCGCCCGCCCUUUGUGA
Molecule: transfer RNA, 74 nt
Filed under: Dallia pectoralis (Alaska blackfish)
Lineage: Eukaryota; Metazoa; Chordata; Actinopteri; Esociformes; Umbridae
Description: tRNA-Lys
Rfam family: tRNA
About the family: Transfer RNA (tRNA) molecules are approximately 80 nucleotides in length. Their secondary structure includes four short double-helical elements and three loops (D, anti-codon, and T loops). Further hydrogen bonds mediate the characteristic L-shaped molecular structure. tRNAs have two regions of fundamental functional importance: the anti-codon, which is responsible for specific mRNA codon recognition, and the 3' end, to which the tRNAs corresponding amino acid is attached (by aminoacyl-tRNA synthetases). tRNAs cope with the degeneracy of the genetic code in two manners: having more than one tRNA (with a specific anti-codon) for a particular amino acid; and 'wobble' base-pairing, i.e. permitting non-standard base-pairing at the 3rd anti-codon position.
Source: RNAcentral